Long non-coding RNA from Lagopus muta (rock ptarmigan), 2732 nucleotides. RefSeq lists it as uncharacterized. Lineage: Eukaryota; Metazoa; Chordata; Aves; Galliformes; Phasianidae. The transcript has 7 exons. The record is from RefSeq and is a predicted model, not a curated record.
CAAGUUUCUGUUCAGACCCAAAAUAAUAACAAGGUCUGACAGUUUUUGCCAGGAUUUUUCUGCCCAGCAACUGCAUUCACAUUGGAAAAAUGGAGCAACUUAAGUAAAUAAGUCUGGAACUCAGAGGGCUUCAUGAAGGCCAGAAGAAUUGCAGACGGUGUUGGAACAGAUAUCUCUUCAGUCUUCUGUAUGAAAGACUUGCUCGUGUCCAUCUCCCAGACUCUUGCUGCUGAGUCACAUGGAUUUCCUACAAGGGCAGAAGAGCAGAGCUGCACUGCUUUACUAUGCCAACUCCUAUAGCUCUCCUAUUGCAAUCAGCCUUCCCAGCAUAAAGUCAACGUUACUAGAAAAGGUAAAAGGAGAUUCCUACCAGAAAUAAUUUCUACACAGAGACAUUACUACUCAAAGGAUUAAAAAACUGCUGCUACAACCUCUGCUCAGCCGAGAACACUCCUCUUAUUCAGGAGGAGCUUUUGUGUGGAUGCAGGUAAGAAAUAAAGCCAAUGAGGAACCUGAAGGUGGGGAUUUCUUGGCUGUUUGAACACAGUUGUAUGGUUUCAUGAUUACCAUCCAUCAACACCACUAUCACUGACUUGCAAGAUCAGCUCAAACAUGCACGUGAUCUUCAACCUACUGUGUAUUUGAAAAGAGGAUUUUAGGAAUCACACAUGAAUAUAUGCAUCAAUAGAACACACAUUAAUUUUAGAAAAAAAGUUUCUACAGUGUAUUUUUCUUUUCAUUUCUUACUAGAGACUCAAGACAAUUUAGUGCUAAAUAUGAAAGAUUGGUUUCAGCUUAAUUUAUGAAAAAAAUUUUGUAAACUUACAUUAGCAGAUAUUUGUGCACUUGAUAUAGCUUUAAAAGUAAUUUCAUUAUUUCCUUAGUCAAAAUACAGAUAAAAGUUUAUUUUUGUAAAAUUUUUAACAGUUCCAUUUUCUUAACAAAAUACUGUACUAUUGAAGCUGUGCUAUCCUAUAUUAACUUCUACAUUAAACAUCAAAUUAAGAUGUCUGUGCUAUCUACGAUCAGAUUAGUACUCUCUGGUUUCAGACAUACUGUAGAGAAGAUGAUAUAUUUAUCUUUCCUCCAAAGCAGAGGAAAGUAUUGAAUUAACUUCAUAUAGAUUAAUUAUGUGGCAAACGGUUGUUUGUUUCUGUUUGAUGGCGAUCCCAUGAAACCAUUAAAGGUCCAACAUCAGCUAAUAGUCACAAUUCAGUGGCAGUACAGCUCCAGAAAAGCCAAAUGCAACACAUCCCUGUGCCAUGCUGCACUGAAAAACUGAUGAAAUAUUAAUCACUCAGGUUCCAUGUAAAACGUAACAGAAAAGGAAGUCAGAAUAAGAAAAAAGAGCACAGCAGGGGUUCUGUAUAUUAGCAUCAACAACCCACAUUUAAAGGCUAAAGCAAAAUGCAGAAACCCUUGCCCCACGUUUGUAAUUUUGAAACUCUUGUCAUAGCUAAGUAAUAGCAUGGCCACAGCAGGAUGCACCAAAAUUAAAGGUAAAAGCUCUCCUGAGGGGUGAAGAGAAGAGGUAAUGGUGCCAGAACGGUUAUAGAAAAAGCCAUUUAUCUUGAGAGUGAGAGAGAGAUCAAGGCAGAAGGACUAGAUUAAUUACAAAGAUUCAUUUAGUACUAUUAUCUUUUUCCUUUGUGACAUCUGAAAGCCUUUGACUAUUAUCUUCUGUUGUAGAAAUUUGCUCUGGUGUAGGCAUUUGGUCAUUCAUACAUGCACUGAUUCUUGCUGACACAGAAACAGUGUUCUGCAAGUGACACCAAUCUCCCCAGCUCAAAGGCUGUCUUGAAUGAAAUACUUCAGGAAUUUAUGAAGUGUUCCCCAAUAACAAUAGGAAAAACAAAUACACAGAUACAUAAAAAAAAAAGGAAGACGUUUGUCAAAAUGUUUUUAUAUGACAAAAAUGUUUAUGUCUAAGUUUCCCGAUGUUUCAGGUUGUGGUCUUGUAGCAAAUGAAAACGAGGGGUAAAAUAAUAAUUUGCAUCUCAAUUAUCCCAUUCAAAUGUGCUCAGAUGCAAAAUAUUACAACAUCAGGUAAGCACCAGUCUCACUUUGAUUUCACCAAUUAAGCAGUCUAACAAUUGCACCACCUCAGACCUAGAGAAUGUCAGCAAAAGCCUAGAAAACACCUGCACAAAAUGCCAUUAGUUUCAUUAGUUGUUUUGAUAACUGCUGCAAACCUAUGACAUAAAAUUAAUGGUUUUAUAUCACGUUACAACUUUUUCCACGCACCAGACCUGCUGACUCCUCAGCAGUAAGUAGACUGCAUUAUCCUUGUUUAAUCCUACACUGUUCAGGCCAGCAUCUUCCUCCUUCUGACUGCCACAGUUCAGUCCAUAGGCCUGUUUCUCACAUUAAGUAACAAUUUAUGAUCAAAUCUCUGUCAUUGUUCUCAAAUUGUACUCAGAUUGUACAAGAGUUUAUAUAUAUUAAAAUUUUUCAGCUUUUCCAACAGUAUCAGGAUUUUCAGUAAGCAGUAACACUCACUGUCUAUGAAUCUGAACACAAGUGGGAGAAAUGGCCAGAGGAACCUCUUGAAAUUCAACAAAGAUAAGUGCAGGUUCCUGUACCUGGGGAGGAGUAACUGCACGCACCAAUACAGGUUAGGGGUUGACCUGCUGGAAAAAUGGUACCCUGGGGUGUGUUAAAAAGAGUGUGGCCAGCAGGUCAAGGGACAUGGUACUUCCCCCUGAUGAAGCCAUUAGACUACAUUUAGACUA